UUUUGAUAUAUGCAUGAAUCCACUUCUCUAAUCCAGUGCUCCUGCCGUACCACAUGCAGAAAUUACGCCUUUCAAUGAAACCUCAUCAGUUUCAAUACCCACACCGUGCAUUUCCCUAAACCUAAAGUCUUGUUGACCAUUGCCGUCCCUGCAUGCCCAUUUAUCAUUGCACUCCAGAAAACCAAAUUCCUCUCAGUAAUUUCAUCAAACACCUUCCUAACAAGCACUAUUUCCUCACACUUUGCUUGAAACUCACCAAUAAAGAUUGUACGUAAGGGCUUAAAGUGAAAUUUAGGUUUUGAAUUUGAUUCGGUUCCAUCUGUCCUUCGAGCUCCAAUAGCAUACAGUCGACAUAGACGGUACGAAAUACCCACUUUCCGUUUUGCCUCAGCUCUCAUCCCUCAAGCACCGGCGAUUUAAGAUGGGAACAAAUUUUCACGUAACAUGCAUCUAGUUCCAGAAUGGGAUCUGGUAACAUUUUGUGGAGUUUGGCAAAGAAUUACUUCACUGUUGGGCUCAUAGGGCUCACCAUUUCAGAUCGAUAUGCUAGUGUUGUUCCAGUGCGAGGCACCUCUAUGUCUCCCACCUUUAAUCCCCAAACCAGUACCUUUUGGGGAUCAUCCAUUGAUGACUGUGUUCUGGUAGAGAAGUUUUGCCUUGAGAAGUACAAAUUCUCCCAUGGCGAUGUGGUAGUUUUCAGCUCCCCAAGUAAUCACAAGGAGAGACUCAUAAAGAGAAUUAUUGGCUUACCAGGCGACUGGAUUGGCACUCCUCAUUCACAUGAUGUGGUCAAGGUUCCAGAAGGACAUUGUUGGGUCGAGGGAGACAACUCACUUUCUAGCAUGGAUUCAAAAUCUUUUGGCCCGAUUCCUUUGGGGUUAAUUAAUGGAAGGGUUACCCACAUUGUAUGGCCUCCUCAAAGAAUAGGUGAGGUUGAGACAAGAAUGCCUCAGGGCAGAUUUUCUUCCUUCUAAUCAAAUUUCAAUGGUGGACUAACUUUGCUCUGGAUCAAUGGUUGCUGCAUUCUUUUAUCGGUUACAGUAUGUAUUGCUCUCAGCUUCUUUCAUGUUGCAGUGAUAUACAUUCCUACUUGAAAAUUAUCAUUGUUGUUGUCAUUGUUGCUAUCGUUAUUAUCAAUUUUGCCACCCUAAAUGAACCAGAUUGUUUUUCUAAAUGAGGGUGGUUGAGUUUUAUUUUUUCAGUUUCAAAUGUCAGUGUCACAAACCCUUUGUUUGGGAAAAAAAAUUAGGUGGG
RNAcentral lists this unclassified non-coding RNA (1254 nucleotides) under Hevea brasiliensis (rubber tree). Lineage: Eukaryota; Viridiplantae; Streptophyta; Magnoliopsida; Malpighiales; Euphorbiaceae. The record is from RNAcentral.